UUACUCAUUGCACAUUGCACCUUAAAUAAAUGACUCAUAAAAUCUCUACCCAUUGAACAUGCUCUAAAAUGAGUUAUUGACCGUCAUGUUAUCGAUACACAGAAGGGCUAUGUUGCAGGAGAUUUUUCAGAUUGUGGUUUGACCUGUAUGUAUUUGACAUGGAGGUUUGUCUUGCAAAAAAAAAU
This 185-nucleotide small RNA is filed under the name Arabidopsis thaliana (thale cress). RNAcentral's name for it is "ATSL211780". The record is from RNAcentral. Lineage: Eukaryota; Viridiplantae; Streptophyta; Magnoliopsida; Brassicales; Brassicaceae.